Molecule: long non-coding RNA, 1433 nt
Organism: Oncorhynchus masou masou (cherry salmon)
Lineage: Eukaryota; Metazoa; Chordata; Actinopteri; Salmoniformes; Salmonidae
Exons: 2
Source: RefSeq, a predicted model, not a curated record
UCCGGUUAAGCAUUUCCGGCCAAUAGUUGCAGCUAACCUAGAUAACCAACACACCUCUCACAACUUCCCAAACAUGGAUUCACGCAAAACAGACAUUUUGUUUUCGAUAAGUAGAUGACACAAUAACUGGUAGAAACGAAGGCUGUUCAUGGAGCAGGAGUGUUUUGACCACCAAACUUUUGGGGGAGCGAGUUCAGUUCUUUUGAUUUGCAGUCUAUUUGGCUCAAAGCAUUGAACUUUAAGAAACCACCAAACCGCUAUUUGUGUUCGUAUCACUUCGUGAAUAAGAGGCCGACUGAAGAGUGUCCUUUCCCUGAGAAAUGGCUAGGCUAUGAUGCUACAGUACAGACCAGAAGGCGACAUCUCCAGCUAUCGUCACAGAUGUGGUGUCCUGAAUCAUGUAGAAGUUAGCAAACUAGAUGCAGACAACUGUGGUGAUGCAGAGUCUAAUCUAAGUGUGCCAAUGCCACCACAGCAUACAGUUGCUGAUACUCAAUGGGAGUUUCCAGCAUUGACUUAUCACAGCUACGUGCCAAGAGAACCAGUCAACAAGCCCACCUGCCACAAACAAACCCAAUGUGGUGGUGCAGAGCCAUUGACCCACACCACCCAGAAUAAUGACACUAGCUCAGUGUUGUAUACUGGCCUAACUCUCUUAGUGUUUUCUUUGACCUUGUAUCAUUUCUGCAGAAAUUCUACACAACUAACUUCAGGGUGAUCUUGCUGAACACUUUGUUGUGUCCCAGGGAGUAGUGAGCAGAAUCCUUUCCUACUGGAUUGACACAAUGGAGGAGCACAAGGAUCUACAUUCCAUGGCUGUCGGGGGAGACGAUCCAGAACACAAUGCUUCAAAGAGAAGUUCCCCAACACCACUUGCAUCAUCGGCUGCUCUGUAACCACUCUUCAGAAAGCACAUAAGCUCGAUUUCAGGGGGGGGGGUCAUACAGCCACUAUUAUUCCAGCAAUACGCGGAAGUAUUUUCUCAAUGUGGAAUCAUUAUGUUUUUUUCUCCUGCACAUGGAGGCAGAUGCAGUGACAAGUUAAUCACCCAAAACUCUGGCUUCCUGGAAUACCUUAGGUCUGGCGACUAAGUUAUGGCAGACAGGGGCUUCACCAUCCGAGAUCUGUUUUAUGAGAGGAAGGUAAACCUUGCCAUACCAGCCGUCACUCAGAAAGGAGGCCAGCUGUCUGACGAGGAUGUCACAAGCACGAGAAGGUUAGCUAAUGUUAUCAGACAACUCAGGGGCAGUGGCAACCCAUCAUAAAGGGAAGGUGAGCCCCACAUUUAUAGCAAAAAAAUGAUAAAUAAAACAGGUGCUUGCCUGUUUUACAUGUUAUUUUGGCUUUAAUACGUGUCACGUAUCAGUUUGCAAACAAUGUAAAGAAAAGAAUGUGUGUAUAUAUAUCAUUGAGUUAAUAAAGCUGUGUACAAA